RNAcentral lists this long non-coding RNA (525 nucleotides) under Monodelphis domestica (gray short-tailed opossum). Its description in RNAcentral is "lncRNA (ENSMODG00000036134.2)". The record is from RNAcentral. Lineage: Eukaryota; Metazoa; Chordata; Mammalia; Didelphimorphia; Didelphidae.
UUUAUGACACUAUACUAUUGAAAGUAAAAAUAAAAUCCUAUUUCUGGCCAUAGACCUUUGUAUACCAGCAAUCAUAAAAAUAUCAUAUGGUAUUUUUAUAAUUAUUGAAAGCAAGAUUUGAACCUGUGUGACAGAGGUUUGAACUCAAAGUAAAGUGACAGGCUGAAGUGCUGCUGAAUCUUCUCACCUCAGUGGGGGAGGGGCCCCAGGAGGUCUGGAAUUUGGAGAAGCCAGAAGGUUCUGACUGAGAGGCAGUUAUCUCUCUCAAUCUUUAGAAGCCUAGGAGGAAGGGAGGUCUGGUCAAAACUUUCUCCUGAGGAGAUAUUCACCUUUUUCCUCUCCUGGAGACAGGACAUCCUCCCCCUCCACCAAUUCCCAACUGAAGUGAUAGCUGAAGAAGACAUUGAGCCUCUGUUAAACUUACCUCACAGCUCCUGGUGCCUUGGAUCUGAACUGUGCCAGUUGGGUCAAGACCAGGGCAAGAUAAAACAGGAUGCCAUUGAAAAGUCUUUAGGAAGGGAAUGA